Medicago truncatula (barrel medic) is the source of this 529-nucleotide long non-coding RNA. RefSeq lists it as uncharacterized. The transcript is spliced from 2 exons. Lineage: Eukaryota; Viridiplantae; Streptophyta; Magnoliopsida; Fabales; Fabaceae. The record is from RefSeq and is a predicted model, not a curated record.
UGAACGAAGAAGUGCUACGAAAACCAGUCCAAAAAUAGAACUCGUGUCUCUUGUUCUGUUCUGACACAGCCGUUAAUAAUUUGGACUUUCACCACUACCAAUGGAGAAGAAGAUCACCCUUGUUCAGACCGUUGCCACCGCCGGCGUCUUCUCCGCCAUUUCUUUCUGGUAUGGAUUCAUGUUUGGCAGAGAAUCCUCUCGCAAAGAACUCUCUCAUCUAAUCGAAGAACUCCGUAGCGGUAAUCCACCACCUCCUCCUCAUUCUUGAACCUCGAUGAAUUCGCUGCGCCGUCUAGAGUAGCUUCAUUCACUAUGUCAUUUAUUGUAUUGCUUUCAAUUUGUUACUAUGUAGCGUAUAUGAGUUCAAAUUUAAACAAUUUUGUAACUAGUGUUGAUUCUAUAGCCUCAGAUGCAAUUCUCUACUUUCUUUGUAACCUUUUGUUUUUUAUACUUGAGAUGCUGAGUUCGAUUGCCCGUUGUAAAAUGAUCAUUAGUGUCACUUUCAGUAAUCAAAGUUUGUUGUUCAACA